CUUUCAGAUUUUUUCAAACAUUUUUCUUCCCUUCUUCUCCAGUCAGCCUUCUUGUUCCAGAAGCAUUUCUGGCUGCCUCACUACUUUGAAGGUCUUUUCAGAUCAUCGACGGCUCUCUUUUGAUCCAUCAUCUUCACCUCUUGUUGUCAUAGGUUCGUUUUCUUCUUCCUUAACCUCUUUUUCACCUUUUUAGUGCAACUGUCCCUUCUAUGUCUAUUUUUCUUUCUGUUCUCUUUCUUAUAUCUUUCAAUGGUGGGUUUUGAGAGUUUUGGUGAGAGCUAGUCUUUC
Molecule: long non-coding RNA, 288 nt
Filed under: Elaeis guineensis (African oil palm)
Lineage: Eukaryota; Viridiplantae; Streptophyta; Magnoliopsida; Arecales; Arecaceae
Description: long non-coding RNA (EGUI_LNC049431)
Source: RNAcentral